Molecule: long non-coding RNA, 1322 nt
Filed under: Salvator merianae (Argentine black and white tegu)
Lineage: Eukaryota; Metazoa; Chordata; Lepidosauria; Squamata; Teiidae
Description: lncRNA (ENSSMRG00000019922.1)
Source: RNAcentral
GCGGGUUACAACAUUAGAAACCAAUAUAAAAUGAACAUACUAGAAUAGUAAUAGUGCCUGAAAAUGGGGAGGAAAAACUGUUUCCUUAUUUAGCCAAAGGCCAGAGCAAAGAGGUCCAUCUCCUGCUUGAGAUGCCCAUAAGCCAUUGGUGGGCCACUGUGUAACGCAGGAUGCCGGACUAGGUGGCCUGUGGCUGAUCCAGCAGUGCUUCCCUUAUGUUCUUACACUGCAGGGGCCUCUACCCUUUGUCCUUUUGGAGACCACAGUCCCCUGGGGGCCAGCGUGCAGCCGGGUUGAGGGAGGAAAGGUGCCAGCUGUUGCCUCCUGGCGCAGGGGUGCUUUGGCCAUUGCCCCACGGCAAGAUCAACAGCCCUCCUUCUGCUGUUGCUCCUGGUCAAAACGCUACGUGGCUUCUGCUCCUUCUUGCAGGGAAUCCCCACCCAGCCUUCCUCAGGCUGCCCAUCCUGGGGAGGGGUGUGAGGAGAGGAGUCCAACCAGGAGCAGGAGCUGCCUGGGGGAGUAAGUGGCCGUUCACACAGGCUGCUACGCGAAAGAGGAAACGCGCCACCCGGCCCAAGGGGAGCACAGACUGGCGUCCCAUAGGCGGAGGCCGAUUUGGAAAGCGCAGCUCCCGUUCCAGUAGCUGGGAGGGGGCAGGGCACAGGCACAGGCAUGCUGCUUGCGCAGGGGCUGCGCAGGGCCAGUGGGCAACCCCAGGGCUGCUUCUCUCCUGCUCUUGGGCCUUUGCACCUGGGGGCGACUGUGAGGAAAGCAGNAAUGUCUGGAACCUGGGCGGAGGGAUUUCCUUUGCUGCUUCGUUUCUCAGCCCUGAAACAUUCAACGGCAAACACCAUUCAGGGUUUUACUUANACAGGCCGUUUUUCUGCAUGGGACGAGGAGCCCAAGAAGAGCAUCGUAAUGGACUUAUUCUGGCAGAAGCUGCUGGGGAACCAGAGACUCCUGUGGGAAUUCUCUGCCCGGGGAGUUGCUUGUUUCUGGUAAGGGAGGGGGACAAUGGCAAAGCCCCAGGGCGGCUAGCACAGUCCUUCGCUCCUGUGUGGAUUUNGAAGAGCCCAAGUCAGCCCCCACCCUUCUCCUCCCAUCCAGACGCUGAUCACAACACUCCUGUGAGGCAGGGUGAGGGCUGGGAUGCAGGACCUGCUCCAGACCAGCUGGGCAGAUUUCACGUCUGAGUGGGCAUUUGAACCCCGGGUCUUGGAGGUCCCAGCUCAGGCGCCUGGCUCUUCUGCUGUCCUUGCGGUCACUUUAUGUCUUGGCUUUCCCGUUUGCUUCUGCACUCUCAGUCCCCCGGGGGAAGUCUG